This 253-nucleotide ribosomal RNA is filed under the name uncultured bacterium. RNAcentral describes it as "partial 16S ribosomal RNA". It matches the Rfam family "Bacterial small subunit ribosomal RNA", at positions 524 to 776 of the family's 1533-position model. The record is from RNAcentral. RNAcentral also lists the same sequence under 1 other name.
AACGUAGGAGGCAAGCGUUAUCCGGAUUUAUUGGGCGUAAAGCGCGUGCAGGCUGUUUGGAAAGUUGGAUGUGAAAGCUCCUGGCUUAACUGGGAGAGGUCGUUCAAAACUACCAAACUAGAGAAUGGGAGAGGGAAGUGGAAUUCCGGGUGUAGUGGUGAAAUGCGUAGAUAUCCGGAGGAACACCAGUGGCGAAAGCGGCUUCCUGGACCAUUUCUGACGCUUAGACGCGAAAGCUAGGGGAGCGAACGGG